This 793-nucleotide ribosomal RNA is filed under the name uncultured bacterium. RNAcentral's name for it is "bacterial SSU rRNA". It matches the Rfam family "Bacterial small subunit ribosomal RNA", at positions 8 to 796 of the family's 1533-position model. The record is from RNAcentral.
AGAGUUUGAUCAUGGCUCAGAUUGAACGCUGGCGGCAGGCCUAACACAUGCAAGUCGAGCGGUAGAGAGAAGCUUGCUUCUCUUGAGAGCGGCGGACGGGUGAGUAAUGCCUAGGAAUCUGCCUGGUAGUGGGGGAUAACGUUCGGAAACGGACGCUAAUACCGCAUACGUCCUACGGGAGAAAGCAGGGGACCUUCGGGCCUUGCGCUAUCAGAUGAGCCUAGGUCGGAUUAGCUAGUUGGUGAGGUAAUGGCUCACCAAGGCGACGAUCCGUAACUGGUCUGAGAGGAUGAUCAGUCACACUGGAACUGAGACACGGUCCAGACUCCUACGGGAGGCAGCAGUGGGGAAUAUUGGACAAUGGGCGAAAGCCUGAUCCAGCCAUGCCGCGUGUGUGAAGAAGGUCUUCGGAUUGUAAGGCACUUUAAGUUGGGAGGAAGGGUUGUAGAUUAAUACUCUGCAAUUUUGACGUUACCGACAGAAUAAGCACCGGCUAACUCUGUGCCAGCAGCCGCGGUAAUACAGAGGGUGCAAGCGUUAAUCGGAAUUACUGGGCGUAAAGCGCGCGUAGGUGGUUUGUUAAGUUGGAUGUGAAAUCCCCGGGCUCAACCUGGGAACUGCAUUCAAAACUGACUGACUAGAGUAUGGUAGAGGGUGGUGGAAUUUCCUGUGUAGCGGUGAAAUGCGUAGAUAUAGGAAGGAACACCAGUGGCGAAGGCGACCACCUGGACUGAUACUGACACUGAGGUGCGAAAGCGUGGGGAGCAAACAGGAUUAGAUACCCUGGUAGUCC